CCUACGGGGGGCUGCAGUAGGGAAUAUUGGGCAAUGGGCGGGAGCCUGACCCAGCCACGCCGCGUGGGCGAAGAAGGCCCUCGGGUCGUAAAGCCCUUUUCCGCGGGGCGAACCGCCGGGGUUAUCCCCGGCCUGACGGUACCGCGGGAAUAAGCACCGGCUAACCCCGUGCCAGCAGCCGCGGUAAUACGGGGGGUGCGAGCGUUGUCCGGAUUCAUUGGGCCUAAAGGGUACGUAGGCGGCCCGUUAAGUCGGCGGUGAAAUCCCACGGCCCA
RNAcentral lists this ribosomal RNA (275 nucleotides) under uncultured bacterium. Its description in RNAcentral is "partial 16S ribosomal RNA". It matches the Rfam family "Bacterial small subunit ribosomal RNA", at positions 338 to 611 of the family's 1533-position model. The record is from RNAcentral.